RNAcentral lists this ribosomal RNA (492 nucleotides) under uncultured bacterium. RNAcentral's name for it is "bacterial SSU rRNA". It matches the Rfam family "Bacterial small subunit ribosomal RNA", at positions 57 to 542 of the family's 1533-position model. The record is from RNAcentral.
GCAAGUCGAACGAGAAAGUCACUUCGGUGGCGAGUACAGUGGCGCACGGGUGAGUAACGCGUAGGUGACAUGCCUGUUAGUGGGGGACAACAUCGGGAAACCGGUGCUAAUACCGCAUAAGUUAAACGACAUUGAAAAAGUUUAAGAAAGGGGCUUCGGUCUCGCUGACAGAUUGGCCUGCGUAUCAUUAGCUUGUUGGUGGGGUAAUGGCCUACCAAGGCGACGAUGAUUAACUGGUCUGAGAGGAUGAUCAGUCACACUGGAACUGAGACACGGUCCAGACUCCUACGGGAGGCAGCAGUAGGGAAUAUUGCACAAUGGGGGAAACCCUGAUGCAGCAAUGCCACGUGAGUGAGGAAGGCCUUCGGGUUGUAAAGCUCUGUCCUAUAGGAAGAACGGCACUAGGUAACGCUAGUGUUUGACGGUACUAUAGAAGAAAGCACCGGCUAACUCCGUGCCAGCAGCCGCGGUAAUACGGAGGGUGCAAGCGUU